UACGAGGGGCCCAAACGUUAUUCGGAUUUACUGGGCUUAAAGAGUUCGUAGGCCGCGCGGAAAGUCGGGUGUGAAAGCCCUCGGCUCAACCGAGGAACUGCGCUCUAAACUACCGUGCUUGAGGAACCUAGAGGUGAGCAGAACUGAUGGUGGAGCGGUGAAAUGCGUUGAUAUCAUCAGGAAUACCGGAGGCGAAGGCGGCUCACUGGGGGUUUUCUGACGCUGAGGAACGAAAGCCAGGGGAGCAAACGGG
This 253-nucleotide ribosomal RNA is filed under the name uncultured bacterium. Its description in RNAcentral is "partial 16S ribosomal RNA". It matches the Rfam family "Bacterial small subunit ribosomal RNA", at positions 524 to 776 of the family's 1533-position model. The record is from RNAcentral.